GUGGGGAAUUUUGGACAAUGGGGGCAACCCUGAUCCAGCCAUGCCGCGUGCGGGAAGAAGGCCUUCGGGUUGUAAACCGCUUUUGGCAGGAACGAAACGGUGCGGGCGAAUACCCUGUGCUAAUGACGGUACCUGCAGAAUAAGCACCGGCUAACUACGUGCCAGCAGCCGCGGUAAUACGUAGGGUGCGAGCGUUAAUCGGAAUUACUGGGCGUAAAGCGUGCGCAGGCGGUUGUGCAAGACAGGUGUGAAAUCCCCGGGCUUAACCUGGGAACUGCAUUUGUGACUGCACGGCUAGAGUUUGUCAGAGGGGGGUGGAAUUCCACGUGUAGCAGUGAAAUGCGUAGAUAUGUGGAAGAACACCGAUGGCGAAGGCAGCCCCCUGGGAUGAGACUGACGCUCAUGCACGAAAGCGUGGGGAGCAAACAGGAUUAGAAACCCCAGUAGUCC
This 450-nucleotide ribosomal RNA is filed under the name uncultured bacterium. RNAcentral describes it as "bacterial SSU rRNA". It matches the Rfam family "Bacterial small subunit ribosomal RNA", at positions 354 to 796 of the family's 1533-position model. The record is from RNAcentral.